GUGUCAUUGAAAAAUAAACUAAAUGCCGUUAAUGCAUAGUGUAUUAUUUUGGAUAAUGGUGAUUGGUAUUCCUUGCCUAGUAUGGAUGAUCGAUUAUUUGAUUACUUUUGCCUUGCGACUUUCACCUGCUGGGGGAGGGGGCGCGCUGCUCAGAUAAUACAGAGACUCAGCAGAUAUUGCAGCAGCUCCGUGUCCUGUGUCUUUUAUUGACUAUAUCUCCCCUAACCAGGCGGUCAGGGUACUACAUUUUGGAGGCCCCAGCGAGGAUGAAUGCAGUGCGAGUUGGCUUCCAGUGACGACAGCCCUCCUCCAGUGCCAUUCAGCCUUAUACUCAGCCCAGGUGACCAGUGGAGUGAAGACGUUCGGUGUCCGUGUCGAGCCAGGAAGGAAAGUGCAAGCAGUCUGAGGUUUAUUUUCGAUACCAGGAACGCUGCAGGAUUCCAGCCUGCUAAGGGCAUUUCUUCUAUCACUUUGCAUACAUCGAGACUGAGUAACUCAUGGAUCACGUAGAGGAUCUGAAGCUUGAGGUUAUAGGAGCAGUAUAUGCUCUUUCACAAGAAAACUUGAUCGAACUCUGUAAAUUCCUAGGAAUUGAUUGUGAACAUGUCAGUAGCAAAAGCCGGUCAUUUUUUAUUUCUUUGAUUGUGAGACACAUUGAGAGAGAGGCAUUAGAGGAGCUUGAAGAUGAGGGUAUGGCAGAGCUUUUGUGUCUAAAAGACAAAAUCUGUGAAAUUCAGAGUGUUAAUGAAAACAGUGAUUCAGAAAGACAGACAGCACCAACCACUAAGAUAGUGAAUGUAAAUCCAGUAGCAGAAACAACAGUAGCAGAAAACACAGAGCAGGAAAAACUGCAAAAAGAAAUUGACAAAUUACAAUCAGCAUUACAGAAGUUAAUAGAGCAAAAACAGAGAGCAGCUAAUCACACACCACAACACACGGGUACACAACAGAACAUAAGUACCAUACAGAGUUAUUCUACAUUGCCAAGUCCAAAUGUACGGCCAGACACAAGCUCUGAUUUGCAGUUCAUGACACACAGACCAGUCAUGCCACCCUGGAACAGAGAAUUCAAGAUAUCAGGACAGAUAGGUGAACCUGGACAAAAAG
Long non-coding RNA from Cyprinus carpio carpio, 1107 nucleotides. Lineage: Eukaryota; Metazoa; Chordata; Actinopteri; Cypriniformes; Cyprinidae. The record is from Ensembl.